UUCUCCUUUUCCUCAGGUGUUGCCAGUCCAAUUUCUGAGGCUUCUUUCUUUUCUUUCUCCUUUUCCUCAGGUGUUGCCAAUCCAAUUCCUCAGGCUUCUUUCUUUUCUUUCUCCUCUGCCUCAGGUGUUGCCAAUCCAAUUCCUCGGGCUUCUUUCUUUUCUUUGUCCUCUUCCUCAGGUGUUUCCAAGCCAACACCUCAGGCUUCUUUCUUUUCUUUCUGCUCUUCCUGUUUGUAAAAUCUUCUCUAGCAGUAUAAAAUUUAGCUCCCAUUAUCCUCAACGUAUUUAAUUAUUUACUUCAUCAAUUUGCCGUUGAAGAGCUGCCAUCAAGCUGCAUUCUCUGCCUCUCCCUGCUGCAGUCUGUAUCCAGGACUGGCUUGCUGACCUGUACCUCAGAGAAAGGAAGGAAAGAGAAGGGAAAAUAGAAACAGAAGCAAUGUGUGAACGAUCCAGUUGCUCUACGUCCUUGCCAGCAGUUAGUAUGGGUUGUUAGUGGACAUCAUCCGAGCAAAACUUGAAAAGUGCUUAUAUGACUGGGCUUACCUGUACAUGUUCCUGCUUUUACAUGAGAGGCACAUGCCUCCAAUAUAACCACUGGUCCAAGAAAGAUAGGAAAUACAUGGAGAAAACCUGGUUUCUAUCUGAAGUUUGGAGCCACCCCAACAAAAAAAAGCCUGAAGAAGGGGCACUCCAAGCCACUCAAAAACACAUGAGCAAGAAAUAAAUGCCUAUUGCUGAUGCCACUGAUAUGUUAUGGUUGUUUGUUAUUAUGCUGAAAAAACAGACAAUAAAAAUUAACAAUAAUUCCUUAAUAUCAAAUACACAGAAUGUUAACUAAAUGAUUUUUUAUGUACAGUUAUUUAUAGGUUUAGAGGUAAAAUUUGCAUAUGAUGAAAUGCAUAAAUUCUAAGUAUAUCAUUUAUUGAGCUUUGACAAAUGAUAUACAACUAUGUAACCCCAAACCCUGUCAAGAUACAGAACAUUACAUCUCUAGAGAAAGUUCCCUCAGGUCCCAUCCAAAUCUAUUCUCACCCACCACUCACCCCCUCAGGCAAACACUGUUUUUGUUUUCUAUACCACUAGAGAUUAGUUUUGCCUGCUUGAGUACUUUGUAUAAAUGGAAUCCUACAGCCUGUAUUUUUGUGUGAGGUUUCUUCAACUCAGUAUGUUUUUGAGGUUCAUCCAUGUUGCGUGUAUCAAUAGUUUGUUCCCUUUUAUUGAUGAGCAAUAUUCUAAUGUAUAGAUAUGCAGUGGUUUGUUUAGCCAUUUUCCUAUUAACAGACACAUGAGUUGAAUCCAUUGUUGGCUAAGCUAUGGUGCACAUUUUUAUAAGUCUUUUUAUAGAUAUAUAUUUUCAUUUCUCCUGGGAAAUUACCUGGUUGGGAAAUUUUUGAAUCAAAGGUUAGGUGUAUCUUUUGUUUUAUAGAAAAUGAUGGUUCCUGUUUCCAAAAUGAUCGUACCAUUUUACAUUCCUACUCACAGUGUCUAAGAGUUCUGGUUACUCCACAUCCUUGCUAAUAUUUGAUGUCAAUCUUCUUUACUUCGGCCUUUCUGGUGGGUAUGUAGUGGUAUUUCAUCAUGGUUUUAAUUUGCCUUUCCCACUUCCCUGAUGAUGUGGAAAGCUUUCCUUAUGUUUGUUGGUUAUUCAUGGAU
This 1653-nucleotide long non-coding RNA is filed under the name Homo sapiens (human). Its description in RNAcentral is "HSALNT0351189". Lineage: Eukaryota; Metazoa; Chordata; Mammalia; Primates; Hominidae. The record is from RNAcentral.